CAGUCGCCGCGGGAACACGUAGGUGGCAAGCGUUGUCCGGAAUUAUUGGGCGUAAAGCGCGCGCAGGCGGAUCAGUCAGUCUGUCUUAAAAGUUCGGGGCUUAACCCCGUGAUGGGAUGGAAACUGCUGAUCUAGAGUAUCGGAGAGGAAAGUGGAAUUCCUAGUGUAGCGGUGAAAUGCGUAGAUAUUAGGAAGAACACCAGUGGCGAAGGCGACUUUCUGGACGAAAACUGACGCUGAGGCGCGAAAGCCAGGGGGGCGAACGGGAUUAGAUACCCCUGUAGUCCCUGUCUCUUAUACA
Molecule: ribosomal RNA, 301 nt
Filed under: uncultured bacterium
Lineage: Bacteria
Description: partial 16S ribosomal RNA
Rfam family: Bacterial small subunit ribosomal RNA
Source: RNAcentral